Molecule: unclassified non-coding RNA, 2745 nt
Filed under: Anthonomus grandis grandis
Lineage: Eukaryota; Metazoa; Arthropoda; Insecta; Coleoptera; Curculionidae
Description: zinc finger CCHC domain-containing protein 10-like
Source: RNAcentral
UCCAGUUUACAAGAUCUAUAUGGUCUAUUUCAAUAAAAUAACUAAUAUGUACCUAGUUAUUAUGAAACUAUUCAAAACAAUGGUGUGGUAGUAAAAUCUAAUGAUCAGAGUGGUAACAAUGUAAUUUUGAGGUUGUUUUACUGACUGCAUUCAGUUCACUAAACGUCACAAACAUUAAUCAAACCUGGCUCCAAAAGGGCUGCAUGAUUGCAAUGGGGGACCUGGGUGGAUCGGUUUAACAGUGAAUGUCAAUGUAGAUGUUGUGGACGUUAUUGGAGUAGAUGAGUGGAGAUUUCUACCUCUUAUAAUCGUGGAUAAAGACCAUACGGGGGGGAUAAAAGAAAAAGCCUGAAAGUGGAAGAAUACCCAGAUUGAGGAAUCGCCAAUAGAAUUAUCAGAAACCAAGAUGCCAAAUCAAAAUAUUAGGACUUACCAAUGGAAUUGGCCUUUUCUCGGGAACACAAAACUGGACACUUAAACAAAGAACCUUGAAAAAGUUGGGAUUUAACUACACCACUUAUAAUCCUGCACUAUUGCAGUAUGGCAUUUAGUAUCCACAAACUAAAAUACCCAAAAGGUGAUCUGCGAUGCAGGAGACAUUAAAAUUUAUGACACUCUCCUACCAAAACCGAACAAUAUAACAGAUUCAAUUUCUUGCACCGAUGCUCAAGAAGACAUACUACCUCUGGCUGAAAUUCAAAAUGUUUCAACUACCAAAUCAAUACUUGCUAGCAAUGAAAAUCAUACAAUCAAUAAUAUAGCAGAUGAAUGUCCAGAAGAUGAAAAAGAAACACUAUCUCAUGUUAAAGAACAAAAUGUUGUAAUAACUGAAUUUGAUAGUGAUUAUGACAACAGAGCAUCGUCGUCAGAUAAUUAUAAUCCUGAAAAUGAAUCUGAUAGUACAAGCAGUUCUUCUAGUUGCUCCACUUGCUCUACAUCCUCAAGCUCUUCCAGUUCUUCUAAGGACACAAGCGAAGAAACAAAAAAACUUCCACUAAAAAGGAAAAAGAAAAACAUUGGAACUUGGAAAAAAAUAUCAGAAAACAAAAAAGACUUAGAGGAGAGGCAUACUUAAGUGUUAAAAAUAUAGAGAAACCAGCAAGUCCGUGAUGGCAAAGCGAAACAUAAAUGCCUCGAAUCUGUUUCAGAAGAGAAUAGGUCAAACAUUUAUGAAGAAUUUCGGCAACUCUCAUCAUUAGAUGAUCAGCGGAUUUUCAUUAUUCAUCAUGUUGAACAAAUACAAAAAAAAAGCACCAGAAAUAUAGAAACUUCCAGAAGGGUGAACACCUGUAAUUAUUUUCUUACCGUUUAUGGACAAAAAAAUAAAGUGUGCCGCGAAUUUUUCAUAUCUACACUUAAUGUAACAGAUUCAUUUAUAAGAAUAUCUUUACAAAAACGAUCUUCUACUGGAACAAUAGAAAAAGACCGCCGUGGCAAACAUACUCCUGCUAAUAAGUUAACUGAGGAUUGUUUGCAAAUGGUAGGUGAUCACAUUUUAUCAUUUCCUGCAGUUGAGUCCCACUACUGCAGGGCUUCAAGUAAAAAAAAUAUUUGGACCCUACCCUAAACUUGUCCAUAAUGCACAAUAUGUACAAAUCACAAUGCAAAGAAAAAAAUAUUCGCUCUGUUUCAAUCGAAAGAUACAGACAAGUUUUUAAAGAGUAUAACGUGGCCAAAGCCAAAGAAGAACCAGUGCAAGAUAUGUUUGGCACAGAAAAAUAUGACUGGAGAAGAAAAUGAAGCGCAAGAACAAACGUUCCAGCAACACUUGAGAAGAAAAAAAUUGGCACGCAAGGCUCGCAGUGCUGAUAAACUGGAAGCAAUAAACAAUUCUACUCUAUUAGCAUUCAAUUUUGACCUUGAAGCUGUACUCACAACUCUAAAAGGAUCUGCAGGACAGAUAUUUAUUUUACUUGCGCAAGUUAGCUGUUUAUAACUUGACAGUUUAUAAUAUUGGAGAUCAAGAUGGCAUUUGCUAUCUAUGGGAUGAAACCCAGGGUAAAAGGGGUUCAAAUGAAAUCGCUUCUUGUAUCUAUGAAUACGUAUGAUCUAAUCCAGAAGUUAGAAUGAUGUCAGAUGGCUGUGGUGGCCAGCAAAAGAAUUCAAAUUUUGCUGCUAUGUGUAUGCAGCUCAUUUCUGUUCAUCCUAGCUUGAAAAUCAUAGAUCAUUUUUCGAAAGCGGACACACUGAAAUGGAAUGCGAUUCCAUACAUUCCAAAAUUGAGCAGAAAGCUAAGCAUGUUCCUGUAUACAUUCCUGAAGGUUGGGCGCAAGUAAUACGAGAUGCUCGUAUGAAAGCACGCCCAUUUGAAGUGAGGAGCAGAAGCUUUGAUGAUGUUUAUGAUUUUAAAGAAUUUGCAGCGCAAAAAUUUGAGAUGAACAAAAUACCAUGGCGUAAGGUUUGCUGGAUUCGUUAUCUUAAAUCGGACAUGACGAAGGUGUUUUACAAAAUGGAUUUUGAACAAGAAUUUCAUGACAUAAACUGCAUGAAACAAUUUCGAGGUCGACCAAAAGUUUCACUUUAUACUCAAGCUCAUUUAAGCGUAUGAAUUUAGUUCCUUUUGUAUUUUCAGUAUUUUUUGAGAAAAUCUUUUUCGUUUUUAUAGUUUAUUUUGCCAAUGAUUUGGAAGUUUAAGUUGUUUUGUUUUCUUAGAUUUAUAGAUUAUGAUUUAGAGUUUAUCCUAGUUUCCCAAUGAAAAUAUACAUGUUUAUUUAUAUUUCAAAUCAAUAAAAAUAUUGAAAAUCA